CGAAUGGCGUAAUGAUGGCCAGGCUGUCUCCACCCGAGACUCAGUGAAAUUGAACUCGCUGUGAAGAUGCAGUGUACCCGCGGCAAGACGGAAAGACCCCGUGAACCUUUACUAUAGCUUGACACUGAACAUUGAGCCUUGAUGUGUAGGAUAGGUGGGAGGCUUUGAAGUGUGGACGCCAGUCUGCAUGGAGCCGACCUUGAAAUACCACCCUUUAAUGUUUGAUGUUCUAACGUGGACCCGUAAUCCGGGUUGCGGACAGUGUCUGGUGGGUAGUUUGACUGGGGCGGUCUCCUCCUAAAGAGUAACGGAGGAGCACGAAGGUUGGCUAAUCCUGGUCGGACAUCAGGAGGUUAGUGCAAUGGCAUAAGCCAGCUUGACUGCGAGCGUGACGGCGCGAGCAGGUGCGAAAGCAGGUCAUAGUGAUCCGGUGGUUCUGAAUGGAAGGGCCAUCGCUCAACGGAUAAAAGGUACUCCGGGGAUAACAGGCUGAUACCGCCCAAGAGUUCAUAUCGACGGCGGUGUUUGGCACCUCGAUGUCGGCUCAUCACAUCCUGGGGCUGAAGUAGGUCCCAAGGGUAUGGCUGUUCGCCAUUUAAAGUGGUACGCGAGCUGGGUUUAGAACGUCGUGAGACAGUUCGGUCCCUAUCUGCCGUGGGCGCUGGAGAACUGAGGGGGGCUGCUCCUAGUACGAGAGGACCGGAGUGGACGCAUCACUGGUGUUCGGGUUGUCAUGCCAAUGGCACUGCCCGGUAGCUAAAUGCGGAAGAGAUAAGUGCUGAAAGCAUCUAAGCACGAAACUUGCCCCGA
RNAcentral lists this ribosomal RNA (810 nucleotides) under Salmonella enterica. RNAcentral describes it as "partial 23S ribosomal RNA". It matches the Rfam family "Bacterial large subunit ribosomal RNA", at positions 1993 to 2802 of the family's 2925-position model. The record is from RNAcentral. Lineage: Bacteria; Pseudomonadati; Pseudomonadota; Gammaproteobacteria; Enterobacterales; Enterobacteriaceae. RNAcentral also lists the same sequence under 2 other names.